CAGAGUGACUAGCUACUGAAUCAUAUAUAUGAUGUCGUAAGGGAAAAUUAUGAUACUACCUUACUAAUAGUGUCGUCCAAAACUAGUGCCAGAAGACUCGGUAAGGCCAGAGACACAAACGUUAAUCGUCUUAAUCAGGCGUAAAGGGUUUGUAGGCUGCUUUGAGAAUAUUCAUUUAAUAUAGCUUUUACUAUAUGAAUAUCAAUUAAAGCUAGAAUCUAAUAGAGGAUAUUUAAGAUAUAAUGCUUGGUAGAGGGCCGAUAUCCUGAGACACCAAGUGGAGUACUAAUAGCAUAGGCAAUUAUCCAUUAAAGAUUGACGCUGAGAAACGAAGGUGAGGGUAGGAAAUAGGAUUAGAUACCCAGAUACUCCUCUCUGUAAACGAUGAAUGGUAGUUUUUUAGUCUAAAGGAGACUAGUGACGAAGUUAACACGUUAACCAUUCCGCCUUGUGAGUACGACUGCAAAGUUGAAAACAAAAAAAUUAGUCGGUCUCGGAGCAAACGAAGUGAAGUAUGUUAUUUAAUUCGUUAAAUCCGCA
Molecule: ribosomal RNA, 540 nt
Filed under: Vanderbylia robiniophila
Lineage: Eukaryota; Fungi; Basidiomycota; Agaricomycetes; Polyporales; Polyporaceae
Description: SSU rRNA
Rfam family: Bacterial small subunit ribosomal RNA
Source: RNAcentral